Molecule: ribosomal RNA, 301 nt
Filed under: uncultured bacterium
Lineage: Bacteria
Description: partial 16S ribosomal RNA
Rfam family: Bacterial small subunit ribosomal RNA
Source: RNAcentral
CAGUCGCCGCGGUAAUACAGAGGGUGCGAGCGUUAAUCGGAUUUACUGGGCGUAAAGCGUGCGUAGGCGGUGAGUUAAGUCUGCUGUGAAAUCCCCGGGCUCAACCUGGGAAUGGCAGUGGAUACUGGCUCGCUAGAGUGUGUCAGAGGAUGGUGGAAUUCCCGGUGUAGCGGUGAAAUGCGUAGAGAUCGGGAGGAACAUCAGUGGCGAAGGCGGCCAUCUGGGUCAACACUGACGCUGAGGCACGAAAGCGUGGGGAGCAAACAGGAUUAGAUACCCCCGUAGUCCCUGUCUCUUAUAC